GCCGAAGUUCCCACAUCUGCGCAGGCGCAGAGUAUUAACUUUCAGCCGCCGGAUUUCCAUAUGAAUUGAAAAACAGGAUAGCAGGAUAGGGAUAGUUUGCCUAAAAGACGCAAACAUAAAGUGCAUGAUUGAUGCGAUGACAGAGCAUCAGAAUGAAAAAAAAGGGAAAAAAAGAGGAAAAACGCGGAAAACUUUCAACCGUUGUCAAGCCAAGUUUGCCGACAACCCCCUUGGGGAAACGACUGGGAAAACCCAACCGCAGCUGCCGAGGAAAACUCUCCGCUGCUCGUAUGCAAAUCAGUUCAACCGUCAGUUCGUCAUCCUCGUCCUGCGAAUCCUGCGAAUCCUGCAAUUUGAAUCGGCGAAAGCGAAACAUCCUCCUGCGACAGGCGUCGCGAAUCGGGGAACUGGUACAGGACUCGCUUUCUCCAUUGUCUCGCCAGGAUCUGCCAGCAGAAGUGACAGGCACUCGGAGCCGCCGGGAUUGAUCACUCGAGUUCUCAACAUGAUGUAGAGCGUGGCUUUUGCAUAACUUAGUUCGGGUUUACACGAUUCUUACAAGGGACUUAAGGGAAAGGUCCUUAGAUAUGGGAAAGCUGGCAGCGAAAGGCGAAACUAGAGAUGUACAAAAGAGUUUAGAGAAAAAAACUAGUUUACAACAAUGUGUUGUGAUUUAUAGGCAUAAAUUAAAUUAUUACUAUUAUGAUUUCCAGCAACUA
Drosophila ficusphila is the source of this 719-nucleotide long non-coding RNA. RefSeq lists it as uncharacterized. The record is from RefSeq and is a predicted model, not a curated record. NCBI's taxonomy places the organism in Eukaryota, Metazoa, Arthropoda, Insecta, Diptera, Drosophilidae. The transcript has 3 exons.